GAUGAACGCUGGCGGCGUGCCUAAUACAUGCAAGUAGAACGCACAGUUUAUACCGUAGCUUGCUACACCAUAAACUGUGAGUUGCGAACGGGUGAGUAACGCGUAGGUAACCUGCCUGGUAGCGGGGGAUAACUAUUGGAAACGAUAGCUAAUACCGCAUAAUAUUGAUUAUUGCAUGAUAAUUGAUUGAAAGAUGCUAUUGCAUCACUACCAGAUGGACCUGCGUUGUAUUAGCUAGUAGGUGAGGUAACGGCUCACCUAGGCGACGAUACAUAGCCGACCUGAGAGGGUGAUCGGCCACACUGGGACUGAGACACGGCCCAGACUCCUACGGGAGGCAGCAGUAGGGAAUCUUCGGCAAUAGACGAAAGUCUGACCGAGCAACGCCGCGUGAGUGAAGAAGGUUUUCGGAUCGUAAAGCUCUGUUGUAAGAGAAGAACGGGUGUGAGAGUGGAAAGUUCACACUGUGACGGUAUCUUACCAGAAAGGGACGGCUAACUACGUG
This 505-nucleotide ribosomal RNA is filed under the name uncultured bacterium. RNAcentral describes it as "partial 16S ribosomal RNA". It matches the Rfam family "Bacterial small subunit ribosomal RNA", at positions 28 to 507 of the family's 1533-position model. The record is from RNAcentral.